UACGAAGGGGGCUAGCGUUGCUCGGAAUCACUGGGCGUAAAGGGUGCGUAGGCGGGUCUUUUAAGUCAGAGGUGAAAUCCUGGAGCUCAACUCCAGAACUGCCUUUGAUACUGAGGAUCUUGAGUUCGGGAGAGGUGAGUGGAACUGCGAGUGUAGAGGUGAAAUUCGUAGAUAUUCGCAAGAACACCAGUGGCGAAGGCGGCUCACUGGCCCGAUACUGACGCUGAGGCACGAAAGCGUGGGAGGCAAACAGGG
Molecule: ribosomal RNA, 255 nt
Filed under: uncultured bacterium
Lineage: Bacteria
Description: partial 16S ribosomal RNA
Rfam family: Bacterial small subunit ribosomal RNA
Source: RNAcentral